AAUAGAAAUGAAAUGUAUUAAUGGUGCUGUUUAGGUGCGUUUGGAAUGUGUGGUGAGUUUAUUGAAGGCAGCUGUGGCUCCACUCAGCUCAUUCAUAAUGGAGGCACUUGCUCUGAAUCACCCUUUAACGGCCGCCAUUCGCCAACAACUGCAACUGGUUCCAAGCAAAAUGGUGCUGAAAAGUAUCAAUUCAAUGAAACCUACAACACCGACCAUGAGAUAUGACGAUGUGUGAAGCGUUGUCUGAAGGCUGAUGAGGCUGGAGAACUGGAGGAUGAUGAGGAAGGGAAUGCAGACACAGGGGAAAGAGGCAAGCUGAGGCUGGAGAGGCAUUUCGAAGGAGACAAAGGCUGUAGUGCUAAAGAUGCAAAUAGGCUGGUAACUGAGACGAAUGUAAUCGAAAUCCCCCAAGAUCCAGAAUAUGGGAAGAUAACGGACAGACGAAAGUUUAUGCCAAUGAGGUAUUGUAAAUGUUGGGGUCUUCUUAUCCUUUCUUUAUUUAUAUUAUUAAAAUUUAAAAUGCUUUUGCAAAACAAAAGGGUUUAAGUAAUAAAAAUGUUGGGGACUUGUAAUUCUUUCUUAAUAAUUAAUAUUAUUACACCAUCCAUUGAUGCAUUGAGCUAAGACAAGUCGUGUUAUGCACGACUUCAGU
Long non-coding RNA from Nilaparvata lugens (brown planthopper), 652 nucleotides. RefSeq lists it as uncharacterized. Lineage: Eukaryota; Metazoa; Arthropoda; Insecta; Hemiptera; Delphacidae. The transcript is spliced from 3 exons. The record is from RefSeq and is a predicted model, not a curated record.